This 275-nucleotide unclassified non-coding RNA is filed under the name Hevea brasiliensis (rubber tree). The record is from RNAcentral. Lineage: Eukaryota; Viridiplantae; Streptophyta; Magnoliopsida; Malpighiales; Euphorbiaceae.
GAAGAAAAAGUUGAUACAUUGCAAACAAAGCCAUCUGAAAUGCCUUAUGAGAAAGAAGAGUUACUUAAUGCUGCCGUCCGCCGUGUGGAUGCAUUGGAAGCUGAGCUUAUUGCGACCAAGAAGGCAUUACAUGAGGCUCUGAUGAGGCAAGAGGAGCUGCUUGCAUACAUAGAUCGCGAAGAGGAUGCAAAGUUCCGCAAGAAGAAAUCAUGCUUUUAAACACGAAAGUGCAGCUUCUGACAUCCGAAAUUGUUAUUGUACGUUCCGACAUUGUU